UACGGAGGGGGCUAGCGUUGUUCGGAAUUAUUGGGCGUAAAGCGCGCGCAGGUGGUUUCUUAAGUCUGAUGUGAAAGCCCACGGCUCAACCGUGGAGGGUCAUUGGAAACUGGGAGACUUGAGUGCAGAAGAGGAAAGUGGAAUUCCAUGUGUAGCGGUGAAAUGCGUAGAGAUAUGGAGGAACACCAGUGGCGAAGGCGACUUUCUGGUCUGUAACUGACACUGAGGCGCGAAAGCGUGGGGAGCAAACAGG
Molecule: ribosomal RNA, 253 nt
Filed under: uncultured bacterium
Lineage: Bacteria
Description: partial 16S ribosomal RNA
Rfam family: Bacterial small subunit ribosomal RNA
Source: RNAcentral